Molecule: ribosomal RNA, 301 nt
Filed under: uncultured bacterium
Lineage: Bacteria
Description: partial 16S ribosomal RNA
Rfam family: Bacterial small subunit ribosomal RNA
Source: RNAcentral
CAGUAGCCACGGUAAUUCAGAGGGUGCGAGCGUUAAUCGGAUUUACUGGGCGUAAAGCGUGCGUAGGCGGCUUCUUAAGUCGGAUGUGAAAUCCCUGAGCUUAACUUAGGAAUUGCAUUCGAUACUGGGAAGCUAGAGUAUGGGAGAGGAUGGUAGAACUCCAGGUGUAGCGGUGAAAUGCGUAGAGAUCUGGAGGAAUACCGAUGGCGAAGGCAGCCAUCUGGCCUAAUACUGACGCUGAGGUACGAAAGCAUGGGGAGCAAACAGGAUUAGAUACCCGGGUAGUCCCUGUCUCUUAUAU